This 497-nucleotide ribosomal RNA is filed under the name uncultured bacterium. Its description in RNAcentral is "partial 16S ribosomal RNA". It matches the Rfam family "Bacterial small subunit ribosomal RNA", at positions 28 to 507 of the family's 1533-position model. The record is from RNAcentral.
GACGAACGCUGGCGGCGUGCCUAAUACAUGCAAGUAGAACGAACAGACGAUACGGUUGCUUGCUACACGAUAACCGCGGAGGGGCGAGUGACACGUUGACACCCAGCUUAUCUGACUGGGAUCACUUCGUAACUACGGGACACAAACCGUAAAAUCUCUUGAUAUUAAUUAUUCCAUGGUAAAAGACGGAUUUACGGACUCGUAUAACUAGCUCCGCGCCGUAUUAGCUAUUAGGUAAGGUAACGGCUUACCGAGGCCACGAUCCGUAGCCGACCUGAGAGGGUGAUCGGCCACACUGGAACUGAGACACGGCCCAGACUCCUACGGGAGGCAGCAGUAGGGAAUCUUCGGCAAUGGGCGAAAGUCUGACGGAGCAACGCCGCGUGAGUGAUGAAGGUUUUCGGAUCGUAAAGCUCUGUUGUUAGGGAAGAACAAAUGUGUAAGUGGAUAGGCAAGUCUGGACGGUAACUAAACAGAAAGCCAAGGCUAACUACGUG